GAUUUCUGGUACGGCGCACUUGGCCCGUCACGGUUACGUGUAUGUGUGCCGGUGUGCGCCUGCCAUCCAUCUGGAGAACGUUGUCGCCCUUCACUGGGUGGGCAGCGGUAUCCAGAUCUUUUACUUUGAAAAAAUUAGAGUGUUUAAAGCAGGCUUGUGCUGUGAAUACAUUAGCAUGGAAUAAUAAUUUAGGACUUUGGUCUUAUUUUGUUGGUUUCUAUAACUGAAGUAAUGAUUGAUAGGGAUAGUUGGGGGUGCUAGUAUUGGCCGGCCAGAGGUGAAAUUCUUGGAUUCGGUCAAGACUAACUUAUGCGAAAGCAUU
RNAcentral lists this ribosomal RNA (322 nucleotides) under Cercomonas sp. RNAcentral's name for it is "SSU rRNA". The stretch from base 103 to 322 matches the Rfam family "Eukaryotic small subunit ribosomal RNA", at positions 734 to 955 of the family's 1831-position model. Lineage: Eukaryota; Cercozoa; Cercomonadida; Cercomonadidae. The record is from RNAcentral.